This 76-nucleotide transfer RNA is filed under the name Candidatus Saccharimonadota bacterium. Its description in RNAcentral is "tRNA-Ala". It matches the Rfam family "tRNA". Rfam says of the family: Transfer RNA (tRNA) molecules are approximately 80 nucleotides in length. Their secondary structure includes four short double-helical elements and three loops (D, anti-codon, and T loops). Further hydrogen bonds mediate the characteristic L-shaped molecular structure. tRNAs have two regions of fundamental functional importance: the anti-codon, which is responsible for specific mRNA codon recognition, and the 3' end, to which the tRNAs corresponding amino acid is attached (by aminoacyl-tRNA synthetases). tRNAs cope with the degeneracy of the genetic code in two manners: having more than one tRNA (with a specific anti-codon) for a particular amino acid; and 'wobble' base-pairing, i.e. permitting non-standard base-pairing at the 3rd anti-codon position. The record is from RNAcentral. Lineage: Bacteria; Candidatus Saccharimonadota.
GGGGAUAUAGCUCAGCUGAUAGAGCGCUUCGCUGGCAGCGAAGAGGUCCAGGGUUUAAGUCCCUGUAUCUCCACCA